This 1272-nucleotide ribosomal RNA is filed under the name Triticum aestivum (bread wheat). RNAcentral's name for it is "partial small subunit ribosomal RNA". The record is from RNAcentral. Lineage: Eukaryota; Viridiplantae; Streptophyta; Magnoliopsida; Poales; Poaceae.
AUGAGGAAGUCUACACAUACUAGUGGGACAAAAAGUUUCCCUCGUAAGAGGGAAGAAAUGAAAGAUGCAGAUCCUGAAAAGAAGUACCCUCAUAGGGCUCACUUGUUCAUGCACACGCACAAGCCAAAAACUUGCAAGAACAAAAUCAUUAAUGCUCAUGUGGAAGAGUUGAAAGAUAUUAUGGACAAGAACCCUGAAUUAGCAGAUAACAGCGGUGGAAAGACUGCAUGGAAAGGAGAUGCGUUGAACAAAUUAUUAGGGGAUGACAAGCCUGGCCAUGUACAUGGUUUGGGACUAGUUCCAAACCCAAAAAAACUUUUUGAUGUUUCCACUUCACGUGUAUUCCAGAAUACACAUUUUACUUCGGUGGAGGAUACACCAAAUGAAGAUAUGCUAGCUUUUAGAGUUGAAAUGGAAAAACUAUAUCAAGUAAAUAAAAAUCAGGAUGCUAAAGUUAUGGAACUAGACGAGAAGCUGAGAAGAAUGGAAAGACAACCAAAUCAGGAAAUUUCAGAUCCCAUGGCUACAAUUGGGCUUGAACCUUCGGUUGAUGGACACAACUCAAACAGAAAAAGAGUGCUUGCUCCUCCGGUUGAUGGACUCCAACUUGUUAAAAAACGAUCAAAUAAUUUACAGAACAAGCCAAGUGGAUCAAACAAUGCAAAUUUGCAACCAUCAAACAAGAAUUCUGUUUCAGAUAAGAACAAAGAAACUAUGGUUCAUAAUGGUGGCAGUGCACGACAACUAGAAAAAUGCUCUACUACACACAAGAAUGUUGUCCAGAACCAAGAAACUCCUCAUAAUUUCAGUGCUCAGCAAGGGGAAAUAAAUUCUGCUACACAUAAGAAUGUUGUUCAGAACAAAGAAACUUCUCUUGAGAAUGUUAGUGCAUGUCAGGGAGAUAAAAAUUCUGCUGCAAACAAACGGACCAAAAAAACAACAAAAGGUGCCAAUGCAAGCAGUAAGAGUGCUCAAAGUGGUUCGCUGAGCUGGUUGGGUGCCAGUGAAUUACCUGCAGGAACUAAAGUAUUCUUGAAGAGCCUGAAAAACCAUAACAAGGAUGUAGCUCUUGCUACAAUUGUAAGUUGUGAUCCAAACUUUAAACUUGAUGGUGAUGAAAUUAGGAAUGAAUUCUGGGCGGUGCAUGUUGAUAUGGCACUUGUGAAAACUGAAAAUUUGGUACGGAGUCGCAAAAACUGCACUACUCUCGGCAAUGCAGAAAAAACAAAGAUUGCAUGGCCCUCAACCUUUAUUCAAAAGAUAAAUGGAUGA